UUGCGUUUAAGAAGGUGGUGGGCUUUCAUUCAGCUUCUCAAUUGCAACACUCCAGCGGCGAUUUGUACUUGCCACACUCCAGCGGUGAUUCCGGCAUGCUCUCCGGCAGCUGCUGCCACCUUAUUUGUGUGCCGCUGUUAGCUCUUCGGUUAUGACCGCUGACAAGAGGAAGAAGCCUUCUUGCGAUUCCUCACCUGUUAGCUGUACUUCCGAUUGCUCCUCCCAUUCGUCAACA
This is a non-coding RNA of Coffea arabica (coffee), 235 nucleotides long. Lineage: Eukaryota; Viridiplantae; Streptophyta; Magnoliopsida; Gentianales; Rubiaceae. The record is from RefSeq and is a predicted model, not a curated record.